This is a transfer RNA of Aspergillus fumigatus Af293, 72 nucleotides long. It matches the Rfam family "tRNA". From Rfam's summary of the family: Transfer RNA (tRNA) molecules are approximately 80 nucleotides in length. NCBI's taxonomy places the organism in Eukaryota, Fungi, Ascomycota, Eurotiomycetes, Eurotiales, Aspergillaceae. The record is from Rfam.
GCCCGGAUGGUCUAGUGGUAUGAUUCUCGCUUUGGGUGCGAGAGGUCGCGCGUUCGACUCGCGCUUCGGGCC